This 266-nucleotide ribosomal RNA is filed under the name uncultured prokaryote. RNAcentral's name for it is "partial 16S ribosomal RNA". It matches the Rfam family "Bacterial small subunit ribosomal RNA", at positions 524 to 789 of the family's 1533-position model. The record is from RNAcentral.
UACGGAGGAUGCAAGCGUUAUCCGGAUUUAUUGGGUUUAAAGGGUGCGCAGGCGGGAUGUUAAGUCGGCGGUGAAAUUUUGCAGCUCAACUGUAAAAGUGCCUUCGAUACUGGCUUCCUUGAGUGUGGAUAAAGUAGGCGGAAUUUGUGGUGUAGCGGUGAAAUGCUUAGAUAUCACGAGGAACUCCGAUUGCGCAGGCAGCUUACUAAACCACUACUGACGCUCAUGCACGAAGGCGUGGGGAUCAAACAGGAUUAGAUACCCGU